UUCCUCUCUUCCCAUUAGAAGAGUUGCCGCCUCAGUGCUGUUUCUUGUGGUAAGAGUUUCUAGGACUUCCGCAACAAAUGCAUGUGGUUUACCUCUUAGUGAAAAUGCCACUGGGAAUUGAUCUUUGAGCUGUGCAUCAUUUCUCCAAAUAUCAAAUCAGAAAGCAAUUUACUUUCUAUUUGCUACUGUGAAGUUAAUACUC
RNAcentral lists this long non-coding RNA (202 nucleotides) under Elaeis guineensis (African oil palm). Its description in RNAcentral is "long non-coding RNA (EGUI_LNC014816)". The record is from RNAcentral. Lineage: Eukaryota; Viridiplantae; Streptophyta; Magnoliopsida; Arecales; Arecaceae.